UACGAAGGGGGCUAGCGUUGUUCGGAAUUACUGGGCGUAAAGCGCGCGUAGGCGGUGAUCUUUGUCAGAGGUGAAAGCCCGGGGCUCAACUCCGGAAUUGCCUUUGAAACGGGAUCGCUAGAGUCCGAGAGAGGAUGGCGGAAUUUCUAUUGUAGAGGUGAAAUUCGUAGAUAUUAGGAAGAACACCGGUGGCGAAGGCGGCCAUCUGGCUCGGUACUGACGCUCAGGCGCGAAAGCGUGGGGAGCAAACAGG
This 253-nucleotide ribosomal RNA is filed under the name uncultured bacterium. RNAcentral's name for it is "partial 16S ribosomal RNA". It matches the Rfam family "Bacterial small subunit ribosomal RNA", at positions 524 to 776 of the family's 1533-position model. The record is from RNAcentral.